AUUCUGCUGACGAGUUCUAAUUAGGACGAAACGUGCGUCCUGGAU
RNAcentral lists this non-coding RNA (45 nucleotides) under Schistosoma mansoni. Lineage: Eukaryota; Metazoa; Platyhelminthes; Trematoda; Strigeidida; Schistosomatidae. The record is from RNAcentral.